RNAcentral lists this long non-coding RNA (1960 nucleotides) under Mytilus galloprovincialis (Mediterranean mussel). Lineage: Eukaryota; Metazoa; Mollusca; Bivalvia; Mytilida; Mytilidae. The record is from RNAcentral.
CUAAUGAUUAAUUAUUUUAAUGGCAAUUAGUUAUUAUAUUUAGUGUUAUAUAUCAUUUUUAGCUCACCUGGCCCGAAGGGCCAAGUGAGCUUUUCUCAUCACUUGGCGUCCGUCGUCGUCCGUCGUCGUCGUCGUCGUUAAGUUUUUACAUUUUGAAAUUCUUCUAGAGAACCACUGAAUGGAAUGAAACCAAAUAUGGCAUGAAUGUUCCUUAUGAGGUGCUGACCAAGUGUUGUUACUUUGUAGCCGAUCCAUCAUCCAAGAUGGCUGCCAGCGGGGGACUUAGUUAAACAUAGGACCCUAUGGGAAAUGGAUACAAAUGACUUCUUUAAGAGAACCACUGAAUGGAAUGAAACCAAACAUGGCAUGAAUGUUCCUUAUGAGGAGCUGACCAAGUGUUGUUACUUUGUGACCGAUCCAUCAUCCAAGAUGGCCGUCAGCGGGGGACUUAGUUUAACAUAGGACCCUAUGGGAAAUGCAUACAAAUGACUUCUUUUAGAGAACCACUGAAUGGAAUGAAACCAAACAUGGCAUGUUCCUUAUGAGGUGCUGACCGAGUGUUGUUACUUUGUAGCCGAUCCAUUAUCCAAGAUGGCCGCCAGCGGGGGACUUAGUUUAACAUAAGACCCUAUGGGGGAAAUGCUUACAAAUGACUUCUUUUAGAGAACCACAAAAUGGAAAGAAACCAAACAUGCCAUGAAUGUUACUUAUGAGGUGCUGACCAAGUGUUGUUAAUUUGUAGCCGAUCCAUCAUCCAAGAUGGCUGCCAGCGGUGGACUUAGUUUCACAUAGGACCCUAUGGGAAAUAUAUACAAAUUUCUUCUUUUAGAGAACCACUGAAUGGAAUGAAACCAAACAUGGCAUGAAUGUUCCUCAUGAGGUCCUGACCAAGUGUUGUUACUUUGUAGUCGAUUCAUCAUCCAAGAUGGCCGCCAGCGGUGGACUUAGUUUAACAAAGGACCCUAUAGGAAAAACAUACAAAUGUCUUCUUUUAGUGAACCACUGAAUGGAAUGAAACCAAACAUGGCAUGAAUGUUCCUUAUGAGGUUCUGGCCAAGUGUUGUUACUUUGUCGCUAUUCCAACGUCGAAAAUGACCGCCAGUGGGGGACUUAGUUUAAGAUAGGAUCCUAUGGGAAAUACAUACAAGUUUCCUCUUAUAGAGAACCACUGAAUGGAAUGAAACCAAACAUAGCAUAAAUGUUCCUUAUGAGAUGCUGACCAAGUGUUGUUAAUUUGUAGCCGAUCCAUCAUCCAAGAUGCCUGCCAGCGGUGGACUUAGUUUCACAUAGGACCCUAUGGGAAAUAUAUACAAAUGUCUUCUUUUAGAGAACCCCUGAAUGGAAUGAAACCAAACAUGGCAUGAAUGUUCCUCAUGAGGUGCUGACCAAGUGUUGUUACUUUGUAGUCGAUCCAUCAUCCAAGAUGGUCGCCAGCGGGAGACUUAGUUUAACAUAGGACCCUAUAGGAAAUACAUACAAAUGUCUUCUUUUAGUGAACCACUUAAUGGAAUGAAACCAAACAUGGCAUGAAUGUUCCUUAUGAGGUUCAGACCAAGUGUUGUUACUUUGUCGCCAUUCCAACGUCCAAGAUGGCCGCCAGUGGGGGGAUUUAGUUUAACAUAGGACCCUAUGGAAAAUGCAUACAAAAGUCUUCUUCUAAAGAACCACUGAAUUGAAUGAAAUCAAAUAUAGCAUGAAUGUUCCUUUUCUUAUGAGGUGCUGGCCAAUUGUUGUUACUUUUAGCCAAAUUUUAUAUUUUUUUUAUAUGAUUUCAAAACCCCAAGUAGAAUCAAGUGAGCGAUACAGGCUCUUGAGAGCCUAUAGUCUAUAUAUUUACAGUGCAAUAAUGAGUUUUUAAUUGCAUUUACACAAAAAAAUAAUUUUGAAGAAUGCAGUUGAAUUUUUCACUUUUUACUUUUAAUUUACAAAUAGACACAUUAAUACAUGAUUUCGUCACUCA